UAGGGAAUCUUCCACAAUGGACGCAAGUCUGAUGGAGCAACGCCGCGUGAGUGAAGAAGGUUUUCGGAUCGUAAAGCUCUGUUGUUGGUGAAGAAGGAUAGAGGCAGUAACUGGUCUUUAUUUGACGGUAAUCAACCAGAAAGUCACGGCUAACUACGUGCCAGCAGCCGCGGUAAUACGUAGGUGGCAAGCGUUGUCCGGAUUUAUUGGGCGUAAAGCGAGCGCAGGCGGAAUGAUAAGUCUGAUGUGAAAGCCCACGGCUCAACCGUGGAACUGCAUCGGAAACUGUGAUUCUAGAGUGCAGAAGAGGAGAGUGGAAUUCCAUGUGUAGCGGUGGAAUGCGUAGAUAUAUGGAAGAACACCAGUGGCGAAGGCGGCUCUCUGGUCUGCAACUGACGCUGAGGCUCGAAAGCAUGGGUAGCGAACAGG
RNAcentral lists this ribosomal RNA (429 nucleotides) under Bacillota bacterium. Its description in RNAcentral is "Firmicutes bacterium partial 16S ribosomal RNA". It matches the Rfam family "Bacterial small subunit ribosomal RNA", at positions 355 to 776 of the family's 1533-position model. Lineage: Bacteria; Bacillati; Bacillota. The record is from RNAcentral.